GAUGAACGCUGGCGGCGUGCCUAAUACAUGCAAGUCGAACGAGGUGCUUGAGUAGCAAUACAAGAGUAUCCUAGUGGCGAACGGGUGAGUAACGCGUGGGUGACCUGCCCCGAAGUGUGGGAUAACAGUCCGAAAGGAUUGCUAAUACCUCAUGUGGUUAUCGGAUUUAGAAACUGAUAACUAAAGCAGCAAUGCGCUUUGGGAGGGACCUGCGUCCCAUCAGCUAGUUGGUGAGGUAAUGGCUCACCAAGGCUACGACGGGUAGGGGACCUGAGAGGGUGGCCCCCCACAAUGGAACUGAAACACGGUCCAUACACCUACGGGUGGCAGCAGUAGGGAAUAUUGCACAAUGGGCGAAAGCCUGAUGCAGCAACGCCGCGUGUGCGAUGAAGGCCUUUGGGUCGUAAAGCACUUUUCUGAGAGAUGAGAAAGGACAGUAUCCCAGGAAUAAGUCUCGGCUAACUACGUGCCAGCAGCCGCGGU
This 483-nucleotide ribosomal RNA is filed under the name uncultured bacterium. RNAcentral describes it as "bacterial SSU rRNA". It matches the Rfam family "Bacterial small subunit ribosomal RNA", at positions 28 to 521 of the family's 1533-position model. The record is from RNAcentral.